RNAcentral lists this long non-coding RNA (304 nucleotides) under Harpegnathos saltator (Jerdon's jumping ant). RNAcentral describes it as "uncharacterized LOC112589114, transcript variant X1". The record is from RNAcentral. Lineage: Eukaryota; Metazoa; Arthropoda; Insecta; Hymenoptera; Formicidae.
GCAGUGCAGCUGAAAAGAAUAGACCAUAUCAUUUUGGUGGAACUUCCUGCGUUCUAUUGGAUUUACCCACUGGAUAUUAAAAUACUGUCCGAAUGAUUAGUCCCAAAAUUGUUAUUUUACUAACCAUGGAUAACAGCAGCGUUACGAUAAUUGAAAUAAACAAUCGAAGGACAUGUACAUAAGUAAACAACAUGAUUAUUAGCGCUACGACCAUCGAGAUAAUCACAACCCAGUGGGAAUCGUCGAGCUCCUCAAAAUAGCCAUCAACCGCAGACUUCACCUCUUCAUUGUUGGCAAAUCUUUU